RNAcentral lists this ribosomal RNA (467 nucleotides) under uncultured bacterium. RNAcentral describes it as "partial 16S ribosomal RNA". It matches the Rfam family "Bacterial small subunit ribosomal RNA", at positions 28 to 506 of the family's 1533-position model. The record is from RNAcentral.
GACGAACGCUGGCGGCGUGCUUAACACAUGCAAGUCGAACGGAAAGGCCCUGCUUUUGUGGGGUGCUCGAGUGGCGAACGGGUGAGUAACACGUGAGUAACCUGCCCUUGACUUUGGGAUAACUUCAGGAAACUGGGGCUAAUACCGGAUAGGAGCUCCUGCUGCAUGGUGGGGGUUGGAAAGUUUCGGCGGUUGGGGAUGGACUCGCGGCUUAUCAGCUUGUUGGUGGGGUAGUGGCUUACCAAGGCUUUGACGGGUAGCCGGCCUGAGAGGGUGACCGGCCAAAUGGGGACUGGGAUACGGCCCAGACUCCUACGGGAGGAAGGGGGGGGGAAUAUUGCAAAAGGGGCGGAAGCCGGCUGCAGCCACGCCUGGGGGGGGAUGACGGCCUUCGGGUUGUAAACCGUUUUCGCCUGUGACGAAGCGGGAGGGGAGGUAAUGGGUAAAGAAGCACCGGCAAACUCGGU